Molecule: ribosomal RNA, 484 nt
Filed under: uncultured bacterium
Lineage: Bacteria
Description: partial 16S ribosomal RNA
Rfam family: Bacterial small subunit ribosomal RNA
Source: RNAcentral
AUUGAACGCUGGCGGCAGGCCUAACACAUGCAAGUCGAGCGGAUGAAGGGAGCUUGCUCCUGGAUUCAGCGGCGGACGGGUGAGUAAUGCCUAGGAAUCUGCCUGGUAGUGGGGGAUAACGUCCGGAAACGGGCGCUAAUACCGCAUACGUCCUGAGGGAGAAGGUGGGGGAUCUUCGGACCUCACGCUAUCAGAUGAGCCUAGGUCGGAUUAGCUAGUUGGUGGGGUAAAGGCCUACCAAGGCGACGAUCCGUAACUGGUCUGAGAGGAUGAUCAGUCACACUGGAACUGAGACACGGUCCAGACUCCUACGGGAGGCAGCAGUGGGGAAUAUUGGACAAUGGACGAAAGCCUGAUCCAGCCAUGCCGCGUGUGUGAAGAAGGUCUUCGGAUUGUAAAGCACUUUAAGUUGGGAGGAAGGGCAGUAAGUUAAUACCUUGCUGUUUUGACGUUACCAACAGAAUAAGCACCGGCUAACUUCGUG